ACAGGCGUGGCAAGCGUUACUCGGAAUUAUUGGGUGUAAAGGGCAGGUAGGUGGCCUGACGUGUGAGGGGUGAAAUCCUGUGGUUUAAUCACAGAACAGCCUUUCAAACUAUCAGGCUUGAGAGUGAGAGAGGAAGAUGGAAUUCCCGGUGUGAUGGUGAAUUCUUUAGAUCUCGGACAGAACACCAAAGGCGAAGGCAACAAUCUGAGUCACUUCCGACUGUGAUCUGCGAAAGCUAGGUGAGCGAUGAG
RNAcentral lists this ribosomal RNA (251 nucleotides) under uncultured prokaryote. Its description in RNAcentral is "partial 16S rRNA". It matches the Rfam family "Bacterial small subunit ribosomal RNA", at positions 525 to 775 of the family's 1533-position model. The record is from RNAcentral.